RNAcentral lists this ribosomal RNA (193 nucleotides) under Klebsiella pneumoniae. RNAcentral's name for it is "partial 23S ribosomal RNA". It matches the Rfam family "Bacterial large subunit ribosomal RNA", at positions 2738 to 2925 of the family's 2925-position model. The record is from RNAcentral. Lineage: Bacteria; Pseudomonadati; Pseudomonadota; Gammaproteobacteria; Enterobacterales; Enterobacteriaceae. RNAcentral also lists the same sequence under 1 other name.
CUGCCCGGUAGCUAAAUGCGGAAGAGAUAAGUGCUGAAAGCAUCUAAGCACGAAACUUGCCCCGAGAUGAGUUCUCCCUGAGACUUUAAGUCUCCUGAAGGAACGUUGAAGACGACGACGUUGAUAGGCCGGGUGUGUAAGCGCAGCGAUGCGUUGAGCUAACCGGUACUAAUGAACCGUGAGGCUUAACCUU